Molecule: long non-coding RNA, 484 nt
Organism: Varroa destructor (honeybee mite)
Lineage: Eukaryota; Metazoa; Arthropoda; Arachnida; Mesostigmata; Varroidae
Source: RefSeq, a predicted model, not a curated record
AAUGAGUAGUUACCCUAUUUACAGUAGAUGAUUACCUGAUAAUUCUGUCUCCACCUUAAAUAACCGUCUUAUUAAAGCAGUGAAUAUCAUAUCAAACGUUUACUUACGUUCUUAAUGCCUAUCUUGUGAGAGUAAAUGAUCAGUACAUGACGGCUUGAAGCUUCUACCUUCGGACGUAAAAUGAUAUACCAACGAUCCGUUGAGGGACAUCACAAUUAGGAUUGAGUUCGGGCUUUGAAACGCUCUGCAUAUAACAAAUAAGUUUGUGUUCUUGCUACCGGCGCAGCUGGUCGAAGAUGCCAGUUGCUGACCGCUCCGACAGACACCAGAAGCAUAGAAAAUAGCGAGCCCUCGUUGAACAUAUGUUUAACAACAACAACAGCAGUGAUUCGUACGGCCGCAGCGAGUUACCGAAGGCAGUCGGACGAAGACAGGUGCCCUGAGGAUCGGCGGCAGGAGCGUUUUUUUUUUUGGAAAAAAGCUA